UCCGAGUUGACCCCGGCAGUCUCUUAUGAGUCCCCACCAUUACGUGCUGGCAACAUAAGACGAGGGUUGCGCUCGUUGCGGGACUUAACCCAACACCUCACGGCACGAGCUGACGACAGCCAUGCAGCACCUUGCUCCUUAUCCUUGCGGAACGAUCCGUCUCCGGACCCGUCAAGGGCAUUCUAGCCCAGGUAAGGUUCCUCGCGUAUCAUCGAAUUAAACCACAUGCUCCGCUGCUUGCGCGGGCCCCCGUCAAUUCCUUUGAGUUUCAGCCUUGCGGCCGUACUCCCCAGGCGGGGCACUUAUCGCGUUAGCUGCGGCACCGAAGGGGUCGCUCCCCCCGGCACCUAGUGCCCAUCGUUUACGGCGUGGACUAC
RNAcentral lists this unclassified non-coding RNA (377 nucleotides) under uncultured bacterium. RNAcentral describes it as "contains 16S-23S intergenic spacer region". The record is from RNAcentral.